UUGUUUUGUUUUCAGUUAUGCUCAUUUCUUCUGCAGGAAGAACCCAUCCUCCAACCACUGUCCAGUCCAAAACUCAAAAAUCCAAAGGAGAUAAAGUGGAAGGAGAGAAUGUAGCACAUACAGAUAAUACAUGGGGAGGCUGUUCUGGUUGUUGGACGCAUCAACAUAAUCGUCGUCUUCGAUAAACUGCCUGUAUGCAUAUAUGGUUAUUUGGUUGGGUCGACCCAUCAUGAACGAUAUCAAUAGCUAUAUAUGUUAUGGAUUGAUAGAUUAUGUUCUCUUAAUAUAAUUCUAAUAUAAUAUUCAAUAAAUAAUGUAUGAUAAAAUAAAAUCUGAACUUUGUGGUA
Molecule: long non-coding RNA, 347 nt
Organism: Erigeron canadensis
Lineage: Eukaryota; Viridiplantae; Streptophyta; Magnoliopsida; Asterales; Asteraceae
Exons: 2
Source: RefSeq, a predicted model, not a curated record